AUAUUUACUUCAUGCUUCUUGAUAUGAUCUUUAACAGUAAGAUACUUUAUAUCGAUAUGCUUCCUAUGACUUUCACUUUUAUCAUUCUUAGAACAAAAUUACAGUAGAAUUAUCACAAUAAAUCUUUUUUAGCCCUACAAUAGAAUUGACAAAUCUCAAACCAUAAAAGAGCUUCCUCAUCCAUAUUGCCUGUGAAGUAGAUUCAUAGCAUGCAACGAACACUGCCUCUAUGUUAGAUGAAGUAACUAUAGAUUACUUAUUAUUUCUCCAAGAUACAGCAC
This 281-nucleotide long non-coding RNA is filed under the name Elaeis guineensis (African oil palm). RNAcentral describes it as "long non-coding RNA (EGUI_LNC034802)". Lineage: Eukaryota; Viridiplantae; Streptophyta; Magnoliopsida; Arecales; Arecaceae. The record is from RNAcentral.